CCUGAUGCAGCCNUGCCGCGUGUAUGAAGAAGGCCUUCGGGUUGUAAAGUACUUCAGCAGUGAGGAAGGGGGUAUCGUUAAUAGCGGUAUCUUUUGACGUUAGCUGCAGAAGAAGCACCGGCUAACUCCGUGCCAGCAGCCGCGGU
This 146-nucleotide ribosomal RNA is filed under the name uncultured bacterium. Its description in RNAcentral is "partial 16S ribosomal RNA". It matches the Rfam family "Bacterial small subunit ribosomal RNA", at positions 382 to 521 of the family's 1533-position model. The record is from RNAcentral.